AAAUGUGAGCACAGCCCUUGCGGUGGUAUGAGAGGUGGCCUCGACGGUGGAGCCCAUCCUGGGAUGCCAUCACUGGGAAGAGAGAGCUGGUGCUCCCAGCCUGGGGAAACUCGGAUAAAGGUGACAGGAGGCUCCAUCCCAGGCACAUUCCCGGUGAAAGGGCAUUUUAUCCAGGGUGAAGAACACGUGCUACUGUCUACAGAGUGCGUCCACGUACGUCACCUCUUCUCAUCGCCACAGCAUCCCUUUGAGGCAGCCACGUAAGGCCAAAGUUCUUGUCCCCAGAGCCAUGAAAAAUACACACUGAAAACCUCCCAGUUCUCCUGUGGAUGAACAAUCUGCAGAUUUUUAGAAAUUGUUCCAGGGUCUCAGUAGUAACCCUUGCAGGCACCGCUGGCCCAGGAUCUGGACAAUUCUAGAGGCAGGAAGCACAGAGACGAAGAAGGGGACUCACUGCCUGACCGCAGAGAAACGAGCUGUGCCUUUUGACCAGAUGGAGAAACCAAGGCACAGAGCCCAACUGGGACGCAGUGAAAUCGAGAUUUGAACGCAGGCAGUCUAGCUGCAGAGUUCUUGCUUGCCCGCUGUGCUACACUGGCUAGGCUGGAAACAAGGCACGGGGAGACUUGGGGCCUCAGCUGGAAAAAUGGCCCUAAGCUCUUUCUAACACAGUGGAAAGUGCACAGGCCCUGGGGUCCUACUUUGGCUUUUCUUAAACUGCAGGUAAAGGUCCAAGUCUAUAUUCAUAUCUGUAAAAGCUUCAUAGCUAUGUCAGUGGUCACAGUGAGAAAGAAAGCAAAUUAUCACACAAGGAAAGGCAUGUGGUCUACAGUGGGCACACUAGAAGCAUCUCCUGAAGCUCAGCCUUUCCCUGGCUGGGGACCCCUCUUCGCUCACCCAACUUGGUCUCUUGGGAUAAGAAAAUGUGUGCAGACCUUUCAGUCCACUCAGUAAGGCAUGAUCCUAAACCAUUAGAAAGUACCUGUUCCAUGUACUGGAAUUAAAGGAACAGUUGGGAAUUUUAUGGAAAUUCUAUUCCUGUUACUAAAGAAAACAGCUCUUGAAUUCUGCCCUGUAUUCUUUUUAAUGGUAAGUCCAAAGUUAAGUCGUCAUAACAUAAAUCAGUGUGACCUGCUGGUAUUCCACUUGCUGCAAAAGAAUCAGAAACUGUGUGGGAGAGCAAACUUCCAUAAUAAGAAAACCAAUGUAGAGACUUCCAAACGCUGCCAGUGGUUACAGUCACAAUGGUGUCUCUAUCGGAGCAGCCACAAAUGAAGCAGAAAUGCUAACCUCAGCAAGUUUCAAAAGAAUGCUGCUAAUCAUUUUUACAGGUUUAUUCUGAACCGAAGACAAGGAAUGCUCAGGAAGAAAUUCUGACAUGAUUUCUAAAUCACAACUGUACAUUAAGGGUCAUAUUUGCAAAACACCUAUCAAGGAAAGAAAAGCCAUACAAGAAAAUGCAGUUCAUGUGACUUUUAACAUUUUUCAGAAUAAUUACAAUCUCAAUUGCACAAAAUAACCAACUUUUCAAAGCAAAUGAGACUUCUGGUUAAACACGGCAUUAACCUACAAGGACAAAAAGAAAGGAAACAGUGACUGAUAAGAGAUCUUAACAUAAUUCUGGAAGACAGGAAGCUCACGGAAGUAAUUGCUUAGUAGAGCAAACACUGAAACCUGAGUGCCCGCAGAGGGUGACUCGGGUGAGAAAGGAGCUGUGACGUUUGUAAAACUCUAAAAUGCUCAGGAAUCAGAGGUCUGGGGCAAGACAUAGAGCCAAAAACAAGAGAUUGGUUAAAAAGCUAUAUAAAAAAGCUUGGCCAGGCACGGUGGCUCACCCCUGUAAUCCCAGCAUUUUGGGAGGCCAAGGCAGGUGGAUCAUUUGAGGUCAGGAGUUCGAGACCAGCCUGGCCCAGGUGGUACCCCCAUCCCUACU
Molecule: long non-coding RNA, 1933 nt
Organism: Homo sapiens (human)
Lineage: Eukaryota; Metazoa; Chordata; Mammalia; Primates; Hominidae
Source: Ensembl